GCCGGGGUCGCUUAGCCUGGCAGAGCGCCAGCCUGGAAAGCUGGUGUCCUAACGGACGCAAGGGUUCAAAUCCCUUUCCCGGCGCCA
RNAcentral lists this transfer RNA (87 nucleotides) under Candidatus Bathyarchaeota archaeon. Its description in RNAcentral is "tRNA-Ser". It matches the Rfam family "tRNA". From Rfam's summary of the family: Transfer RNA (tRNA) molecules are approximately 80 nucleotides in length. Their secondary structure includes four short double-helical elements and three loops (D, anti-codon, and T loops). The record is from RNAcentral. Lineage: Archaea; Thermoproteati; Candidatus Bathyarchaeota.